RNAcentral lists this ribosomal RNA (411 nucleotides) under Actinomycetes bacterium. Its description in RNAcentral is "Actinobacteria bacterium partial 16S ribosomal RNA". It matches the Rfam family "Bacterial small subunit ribosomal RNA", at positions 355 to 776 of the family's 1533-position model. Lineage: Bacteria; Bacillati; Actinomycetota; Actinomycetes. The record is from RNAcentral.
UGGGGAAUAUUGCACAAUGGGCGCAAGCCUGAUGCAGCGACGCCGCGUGGGGGAUGACGGCCUUCGGGUUGUAAACUCCUUUCGCUAGGGACGAAGCUUUUUGUGACGGUACCUAGAUAAGAAGCACCGGCUAACUACGUGCCAGCAGCCGCGGUAAUACGUAGGGUGCGAGCGUUGUCCGGAAUUACUGGGCGUAAAGGGCUCGUAGGUGGGUUGUCGCGUCGUCUGUGAAAUUCCGGGGCUUAACUCCGGGCGUGCAGGCGAUACGGGCAUAACUUGAGUACUGUAGAGGUAACUGGAAUUCCUGGUGUAGCGGUGAAAUGCGCAGAUAUCAGGAGGAACACCGAUGGCGAAGGCAGGUUACUGGGCAGUUACUGACGCUGAGGAGCGAAAGCAUGGGUAGCGAACAGG